Molecule: ribosomal RNA, 505 nt
Filed under: uncultured bacterium
Lineage: Bacteria
Description: partial 16S ribosomal RNA
Rfam family: Bacterial small subunit ribosomal RNA
Source: RNAcentral
GACGAACGCUGGCGGCGUGCCUAAUACAUGCAAGUAGAACGCACAGUUUAUACCGUAGCUUGCUACACCAUAGACUGUGAGUUGCGAACGGGUGAGUAACGCGUAGGUAACCUGCCUGGUAGCGGGGGAUAACUAUUGGAAACGAUAGCUAAUACCGCAUAAUAUUGAUUAUUGCAUGAUAAUUGAUUGAAAGAUGCUAUUGCAUCACUACCAGAUGGACCUGCGUUGUAUUAGCUAGUAGGUGAGGUAACGGCUCACCUAGGCGACGAUACAUAGCCGACCUGAGAGGGUGAUCGGCCACACUGGGACUGAGACACGGCCCAGACUCCUACGGGAGGCAGCAGUAGGGAAUCUUCGGCAAUGGACGAAAGUCUGACCGAGCAACGCCGCGUGAGUGAAGAAGGGUUUCGGAUCGUAAAGCUCUGUUGUAAGAGAAGAACGGGUCUGAGAGUGGAAAGUUCACACUGUGACGGUAUCUUACCAGAAAGGGACGGCUAACUACGUG